RNAcentral lists this ribosomal RNA (429 nucleotides) under bacterium. Its description in RNAcentral is "partial 16S ribosomal RNA". It matches the Rfam family "Bacterial small subunit ribosomal RNA", at positions 355 to 776 of the family's 1533-position model. The record is from RNAcentral.
UAGGGAAUCUUCCACAAUGGACGCAAGUCUGAUGGAGCAACGCCGCGUGAGUGAAGAAGGUUUUCGGAUCGUAAAGCUCUGUUGUUGGUGAAGAAGGAUAGAGGCAGUAACUGGUCUUUAUUUGACGGUAAUCAACCAGAAAGUCACGGCUAACUACGUGCCAGCAGCCGCGGUAAUACGUAGGUGGCAAGCGUUGUCCGGAUUUAUUGGGCGUAAAGCGAGCGCAGGCGGAAUGAUAAGUCUGAUGUGAAAGCCCACGGCUCAACCGUGGAACUGCAUCGGAAACUGUCAUUCUUGAGCGCAGAAGAGGAGAGUGGAAUUCCAUGUGUAGCGGUGGAAUGCGUAGAUAUAUGGAAGGACACCAGUGGCGAAGGCGGCUCUCUGGGCUGCAACUGACGCUGAGGCUCGAAAGCAUGGGUAGCGAGCAGG